GUAGGCAUAGUUUAACAAAAACACUAGAUUGUGAUUCUAGAGACAGAGGUUAAAACCCCCUUGCCCACC
This 69-nucleotide transfer RNA is filed under the name Mugilogobius myxodermus. RNAcentral's name for it is "tRNA-His". It matches the Rfam family "tRNA". From Rfam's summary of the family: Transfer RNA (tRNA) molecules are approximately 80 nucleotides in length. Their secondary structure includes four short double-helical elements and three loops (D, anti-codon, and T loops). Further hydrogen bonds mediate the characteristic L-shaped molecular structure. tRNAs have two regions of fundamental functional importance: the anti-codon, which is responsible for specific mRNA codon recognition, and the 3' end, to which the tRNAs corresponding amino acid is attached (by aminoacyl-tRNA synthetases). tRNAs cope with the degeneracy of the genetic code in two manners: having more than one tRNA (with a specific anti-codon) for a particular amino acid; and 'wobble' base-pairing, i.e. permitting non-standard base-pairing at the 3rd anti-codon position. Lineage: Eukaryota; Metazoa; Chordata; Actinopteri; Gobiiformes; Gobiidae. The record is from RNAcentral.